Molecule: small RNA, 121 nt
Filed under: Salmonella enterica
Lineage: Bacteria; Pseudomonadati; Pseudomonadota; Gammaproteobacteria; Enterobacterales; Enterobacteriaceae
Also listed under: 2 other names
Description: partial RtT sRNA
Rfam family: RtT RNA
About the family: This family represents a bacterial cis-regulatory element known as RtT RNA.
Source: RNAcentral
AUAUCUCUCUGUACGGGAAGGAUGAGAAGCUUCUACCAGGGUUCGAUUCGAGCGCAGCGAGAAAGCGUUGCCGCAGGCAACGACCCGAAGGGCGAAGCGCGCAGCGCUGAGUCAUCCUUCC